CGAAUGCGCCUCAGACACCACUAACGACUGCCUAUUUGUUUGUGAGAACACCCCGGGCUCGUACCGCUGUACCUGUUCCGCAGGAUUUAUCCUUAUCAACGACCAGUGCUUCGAUAUUGACGAGUGUGCCUAUGGGCUGUCAGAGUGUUCUCAUGAAUGCAAUAACAAUGAUGGCAGUUACACAUGUGACUGUCCAGCAGGAUAUCUUCUGGGACCUGACAACAAGCAGUGCAUAGAACUAGAUGAAUGUGGCAGUACUCCUUGUCAAAAUGGAGGCAGUUGUCAUGAUGGCAUCGACCAGUUUUAUUGCGCAUGCACAUUGGGAUGGCUUGGAACUCUCUGUGAAACAGACAUUGACGAGUGUUUGGUGACUAACCAUGGUUGUGAAAACGACUGUGAGAACACACCUGGCAGUUACACCUGCAGCUGUCCAGAAGGGUUCCAGCUGAAAGACGACAGAAGGACAUGCCAAGACGUCGACGAGUGUGAAACCAGCUACCAGUGUACUCACAUCUGCAGUAACACGGAGGGAAGUUACAUCUGUAGCUGUCCAUCUGAUCUCGUCUUGCAACCAGAUGGCACUA
This is a long non-coding RNA of Branchiostoma floridae (Florida lancelet), 584 nucleotides long. RefSeq lists it as uncharacterized. The transcript is spliced from 5 exons. The record is from RefSeq and is a predicted model, not a curated record. Lineage: Eukaryota; Metazoa; Chordata; Leptocardii; Amphioxiformes; Branchiostomatidae.